UGGAGUGACUAUUGGAGCUAAUAUUAUCAGCACACUACUUUCAAGAACUGGGAUAGUUCUUCUCUCAGUGAAUUUAGUUGAUGUAUUCUUAUCUGAAUGCUCAGAGUUACGUGAGUGUUCACUGAUUAAAACUUUUGUAAGUGUUAUCGUUAUCUUUCAAAUGAUAGUGACUUGUGUGCAAAUUUUUAUUUCCUUCUCGCUCUGUGGGCUCACUUAUACUGUGCAUGGCAAUGAGAUCAGCUGGAUUUCUGCACUAAGUUGCUUGAUCAGAUCACAUUCUGAAGAUCCUUAUCAAGAUUUAUUGACUCAACCUGAAAUUUAUGAAGACUUAGCGCUUCAAGAUGUAGAUCCUGUUCACU
Enhydra lutris kenyoni (northern sea otter) is the source of this 359-nucleotide long non-coding RNA. RefSeq lists it as uncharacterized. The transcript is spliced from 3 exons. The record is from RefSeq and is a predicted model, not a curated record. NCBI's taxonomy places the organism in Eukaryota, Metazoa, Chordata, Mammalia, Carnivora, Mustelidae.